GUGGGGAAUAUUGGACAAUGGGCGAAAGCCUGAUCCAGCCAUGCCGCGUGUGUGAAGAAGGUCUUCGGAUUGUAAAGCACUUUAAGUUGGGAGGAAGGGCAGUAAGUUAAUACCUUGCUGUUUUGACGUUACCGACAGAAUAAGCACCGGCUAACUUCGUGCCAGCAGCCGCGGUAAGACGAAGGGUGCAAGCGUUAAUCGGAAUUACUGGGCGUAAAGCGCGCGUAGGUGGUUUUGUAAGUUGGAGGUGAAAUCCCCGGGCUCAACCUGGGAACUGCCUCCAAAACUGCAUGACUAGAGUACGGUAGAGGGUAGUGGAAUUUCCUGUGUAGCGGUGAAAUGCGUAGAUAUAGGAAGGAACACCAGUGGCGAAGGCGACUACCUGGACUGAUACUGACACUGAGGUGCGAAAGCGUGGGGAGCAAACAGGAUUAGAUACCCUUGUAGUCC
Molecule: ribosomal RNA, 450 nt
Filed under: uncultured bacterium
Lineage: Bacteria
Description: partial 16S ribosomal RNA
Rfam family: Bacterial small subunit ribosomal RNA
Source: RNAcentral